This 206-nucleotide ribosomal RNA is filed under the name uncultured bacterium. Its description in RNAcentral is "partial 16S ribosomal RNA". It matches the Rfam family "Bacterial small subunit ribosomal RNA", at positions 568 to 774 of the family's 1533-position model. The record is from RNAcentral.
AGCGCAGGCGGUUUGAUAAGUCUGAAGUAAAAGGCUGUGGCUUAACCAUAGUAUGCUUUGGAAACUGUCAAACUUGAGUGCAGAAGGGGAGAGUGGAAUUCCAUGUGUAGCGGUGAAAUGCGUAGAUAUAUGGAGGAACACCGGUGGCGAAAGCGGCUCUCUGGUCUGUAACUGACGCUGAGGCACGAAAGCGUGGGGAGCAAACA